GAUGUUGGGUUAAGUCCCGCAACGAGCGCAACCCUUGUCAUUAGUUGCUACAUUUAGUUGGGCACUCUAGUGAGACUGCCGGUGACAAACCGGAGGAAGGUGGGGAUGACGUCAAGUCCUCAUGGCCCUUACGGGCUGGGCUACACACGUGCUACAAUGGCGGUGACAGUGGGAUGCAAAGGGGCGACCCCUCGCAAAUCUCCAAAAGCCAUCUCAGUUCGGAUUGCACUCUGCAACUCGAGUGCAUGAAGGCGGAAUCGCUAGUAAUCGUGGAUCAGCAUGCCACGGUGAAUACGUUCCCGGGCCUUGUACACACCGCCCGUCACGUCACGAAAGUCGGCAACACCCGAAGCCGGUGGCCCAACCCUUGUGGAGGGAGCCGUCGAAGGUGGGAUCGGUAAUUAGGACUAAGUCGUAACAAGGUAGCCGUACCGGAAGGUGCGGCUGGAUCACCUCCUU
Molecule: ribosomal RNA, 459 nt
Filed under: Pycnococcus provasolii
Lineage: Eukaryota; Viridiplantae; Chlorophyta; Pseudoscourfieldiophyceae; Pseudoscourfieldiales; Pycnococcaceae
Description: partial Bacterial small subunit ribosomal RNA
Rfam family: Bacterial small subunit ribosomal RNA
Source: RNAcentral